CGCAGGAGGACGAGGAGCGGCAGAUCGCUGUUGCUCUCACACAAUCCGGCGUGCAAUCCGGAUUUCUCCGGUUACUUGGAUCGGGCCGAUGAACGUGAUCGAGACACGCCGACACGUGGGCAGCCGACCACGGCCCGGCCUCCUCGAACAUGCUCCGGUGAUCGCAUUCUUGUUGUUGGGUCGAAACAGCCGUUUCUCUGAAUUAGUGCGGUCACUAUUGUAACGGAUUUGCGGAUUCCGGCGGAGUCGGAAUUCCGGUAUGUGGGCCGUGGAGAGCGAAUUUGCCUUUCUUUGCCAUUCGGCGUCGACGGCCAAGGGCGGUGCCGGGGUAUAUUCGGAGCAGAGACAGAAACAGGUAAGAUUCUUACAUGUUUUGGUGUCUGCCGAUAUUAUUCCGAACAUUUUACUAACAACAACAACAAGAUUCCAUUUA
This is a long non-coding RNA of Callorhinchus milii (elephant shark), 433 nucleotides long. RefSeq lists it as uncharacterized. Lineage: Eukaryota; Metazoa; Chordata; Chondrichthyes; Chimaeriformes; Callorhinchidae. The transcript is spliced from 2 exons. The record is from RefSeq and is a predicted model, not a curated record.